UUUCGGGGCGAGGUGAAAUUCCUCACCGGUGGUACAGUCCACGACCUGCCGAAAGGCGGCUGACUCGGUGAAAUUCCGAGACCGACGGUUAAAGUCCGGAUAAGAGAAAU
This 110-nucleotide non-coding RNA is filed under the name uncultured Eubacterium sp. Its description in RNAcentral is "FMN riboswitch (RFN element)". It matches the Rfam family "FMN riboswitch aptamer (RFN element)". From Rfam's summary of the family: The RFN element is a highly conserved domain that is found frequently in the 5'-untranslated regions of prokaryotic mRNAs that encode for flavin mononucleotide (FMN) biosynthesis and transport proteins. This element is a metabolite-dependent riboswitch that directly binds FMN in the absence of proteins. In Bacillus subtilis, the riboswitch most likely controls gene expression by causing premature transcription termination within the 5' untranslated region of the ribDEAHT operon and precluding access to the ribosome-binding site of ypaA mRNA. Lineage: Bacteria; Bacillati; Bacillota; Clostridia; Eubacteriales; Eubacteriaceae. The record is from RNAcentral.